UCAGAAUCAACGCUGGCGGCGUGCCUAACACAUGCAAGUCGAACAAGAAAGGGACUUCGGUCCUGAGUACAGUGGCGCACGGGUGAGUAACACGUGACUAACCUACCCUCGAGUGGGGAAUAACUUCGGGAAACCGAGGCUAAUACCGCAUAAUACCCACGGGUCAAAGGAGCAAUUCGCUUGAGGAGGGGGUCGCGGCCGAUUAGCUAGUUGGCGGGGUAAUGGCCCACCAAGGCAGUGAUCGGUAUCCGGCCUGAGAGGGCGCACGGACACACUGGAACUGAAACACGGUCCAGACUCCUACGGGAGGCAGCAGUGGGGAAUUUUGCGCAAUGGGGGAAACCCUGACGCAGCAACGCCGCGUGGAGGAUGAAGUCUCUUGGGACGUAAACUCCUUUCGAUCGGAACGAUUAUGACGGUACCGGAAGAAGAAGCCCCGGCUAACUUCGUGCCAGCAGCCGCGGUAAUACGAGGGGGGCGAGCGUUGUUCGGAAUUAUUGGGCGUAAAGGGUGCGUAGGCGGUUCGGUAAGUUUGAUGUGAAAUCUUCGGGCUCAACUCGAAGUCUGCAUCGAAAACUGCCGGGCUUGAGUGUGGGAGAGGUGAGUGGAAUUUCCGGUGUAGCGGUGAAAUGCGUAGAUAUCGGAAGGAACACCUGUGGCGAAAGCGGCUCACUGGACCACAACUGACGCUGAUGCACGAAAGCUAGGGGAGCAAACAGGAUUAGAUACCCUGGUAGUCCUAGCCCUAAACGAUGAUCGCUUGGUGUGGCGGGUACCCAAUCCCGUCGUGCCGUAGCUAACGCGUUAAGCGAUCCGCCUGGGGAGUACGGUCGCAAGGCUGAAACUCA
This 848-nucleotide ribosomal RNA is filed under the name uncultured bacterium. Its description in RNAcentral is "bacterial SSU rRNA". It matches the Rfam family "Bacterial small subunit ribosomal RNA", at positions 24 to 903 of the family's 1533-position model. The record is from RNAcentral.